AUACGGAGGAUCCGAGCGUUAUCCGGAUUUAUUGGGUUUAAAGGGUGCGCAGGCGGGAGAUUAAGUCGGCGGUGAAAUUUUACAGCUCAACCGUAAAAGGGCCUUCGAAACUGGUUUCCUUGAGUGUAGAUGAAGUAGGCGGAAUUUGUGGUGUAGCGGUGAAAUGCAUAGAUAUCACGAGGAACUCCGAUUGCGCAGGAAGCUUACUCAACUACUGCUAUCGCUCAGGCACGAAGGGGUGGGGAUCAAACAGGAUUAGAUACCCUUGUAGUCCACGCAGUAAACGAUGACAAAUAGUUGUUGGCAAGAAACAGAUCAGUAACUGAGCGAAAGCGUUAAGUAAUCCACCUGGGGAGUACGACCGCAAGGUUGAAACUCAAAGGAAUUGACGGGG
This 394-nucleotide ribosomal RNA is filed under the name uncultured bacterium. RNAcentral's name for it is "partial 16S ribosomal RNA". It matches the Rfam family "Bacterial small subunit ribosomal RNA", at positions 523 to 918 of the family's 1533-position model. The record is from RNAcentral.